This is an RNA transcript of Arachis stenosperma, 1301 nucleotides long. RefSeq lists it as uncharacterized. The transcript has 6 exons. Lineage: Eukaryota; Viridiplantae; Streptophyta; Magnoliopsida; Fabales; Fabaceae. The record is from RefSeq and is a predicted model, not a curated record.
UUUACUGCGCGUCUCCUUUUGACUUGUGAGUCACAAAAUUUCUACUUCCCCCGAGACUGAGACAGACAGAAAAUGGCGAAGGGAAGCGAAAGUGUGGGUGAGGGCGGUACCGAAAGAGAUGAGCGAAGCACUGAGGCGCACGGUAGCCAGCCUGGAGAAUCUGGAAGCAGAGCUGCCGAAUAUUCUGUCUCUCUCAAACCCUUUCAUCCUCUCCAAAAUGCCUCCUCUUCACGCGCUCACUCCCUCUUAACCCUUGCCAACAUCACUUCCACCCUUUUCUCAUUGAAGUUGAGAUGCAAGGGGACUAUUCCAGAUUAUCAUCCCCUCAAAUCUGAACUUGUUAAAAGUUUACCAACGCAAACUGGAACCUUUUGGGGAUGUAGGUCAAGCUCUACCACUGCCUUCUUCUUCUUGGAUGAUCAGGCUUCUGUUGACCACUCUUUACGUGACCUCACUUCAGUACAAAGAAAAGAAAUGGCUAACAUGAGCAUUGGGGAGGUACCAAUGAUGAGCAACUAUCAGGAGCAGGCUGGUCAGAAGAGAAAGCAUCCAUCUUCUGAAGAACACCCUGUUCAAGUUUAUUCUGAGGUGCACAUGAAGAAAGAACCACUUGAGGUUUUUGGUCAUAACAAUGAAAAAACUGAGGAACCAAUAGUAAUUGACAUUUCAGAUGAUGACGAGUGAUGAUCAUUUUGAGCUGCUUGUGCAGUUGUGCUGCCCUUAUUUUUCAGAAUCUGGUUGACUUACUCAUUCCAGAACUAAGAUUCAUCUUAUGCUCAAAUUGAAGAAUCUCAACUCAGAACUGAAGUAUGCGGAUUCUGGAGAAGUUUCUAGUUAUAUCCAAUCAAGAAUUGCUCUAGCCUGCAAUAGGCAGCUCUAGCCUUGCUAACUUUGUAACUUGUAUAAAUGUUAAGCUUUGUUGAUUUGGUGUGAUUGGUAAAAUUACAUUAACCUCCUCUGAGCCUCUGAUGUUAAGGGACAUUACACAUACGUCUUUAUUUCUAAAAGUCUUUACAGAACUCUUCUAAGAUUUAAGUUAUAUCUGACAUCUGGUAACUAUAUUUUUCUAAAAUGGACGCUGACCUCUCACUGGAUCUGGGGUUGUCAUUGUCAACAUAUAAUUCAUGGGGUGCUAUGUGUAAUUUCACCUAAAAUUCAAGGGAGGUUGGUGUACUUUAUCUUAUUUAUAACUUGUUAUCUUUGAAAGCUUAGCGUAUGCUUGGUGUUAAGGUUUGAUUAUACAAUGUAUAAUUAUUCAUUUAUUUUUGUCAUGUUAAAUUAUUAUAUUCUCAAAAGAUUUC